This 429-nucleotide ribosomal RNA is filed under the name uncultured bacterium. Its description in RNAcentral is "bacterial SSU rRNA". It matches the Rfam family "Bacterial small subunit ribosomal RNA", at positions 8 to 431 of the family's 1533-position model. The record is from RNAcentral.
AGAGUUUGAUCCUGGCUCAGAAUCAACGCUGGCGGCGUGCCUCAGACAUGCAAGUCGAACGAUUAAGACUUCCUUCGGGAAGUGUAUAAAGUGGCGCACGGGUGAGUAACACGUAAGUAAUCUACCUUCGAGUGGGGAAUAACGUCCGGAAACGGACGCUAAUACCGCAUAAUGCAGCGGCAUCGUAAGAUGACAGUUGUUAAAGGAGCAAUCCGCUUGAAGAGGAGCUUGCGGCAGAUUAGCUAGUUGGUAAGGUAAUGGCCUACCAAGGCGACGAUCAGUAGCUGGUCUGAGAGGACGACCAGCCACACUGGGACUGAGACACGGCCCAGACUCCUACGGGAGGCAGCAGUGGGGGAUUUUGGACAAUGGGGGCAACCCUGAUCCAGCAAUGCCGCGUGAGUGAAAAAAGGCUUCGGGUUGUAAAGC